This 856-nucleotide long non-coding RNA is filed under the name Homo sapiens (human). Its description in RNAcentral is "long intergenic non-protein coding RNA 2609". The record is from RNAcentral. Lineage: Eukaryota; Metazoa; Chordata; Mammalia; Primates; Hominidae.
GGGCGGGCGCAGGACUGCAGGCUGGGGCUCCGCUCCCCGGCGGGAGCCCGCGCGUGGUUCCCAGCGAAGUCCCCGCGCGGCUGGGCCCAGCGUGAGUAUUCUCCGCCCGCUGUCCUCCCCCUGGAGGCGGCAGCGCCCGUUUAUUUGAGGCUUCUAAUGUGAGGAAAAACACGGAAUGACAAGUGUGGGAAAGAGCAAGCACUAAAUUACUGUCAGAAAAAUAAACGGAGUAGCACAGUGCUGCUCGGUGAUUUACGGGGGCAAUUAGUCACCACCCCACGGCGCUGCUGAGGACAGCACGGCAGCAGACAAGUCAGGCCCAUGAGGAAGAAGAGGCUUUGCACUGCUCUCCAGACAACUUUUCAAACAACAAGAGAGGAUAUUUGAGCACAUUAGGUUUUGUGUCUUCAUUCUGGGUCGGCUGCCUCCAAUCCUGAGGUCAUCACUCAUCAAGAGGGGAUAAUCCCAGGGACAGCAGGAUCUGCUUCGUUACUUGGAUUUAGGAGCCAGAAACCCAUCAGGCAACUAAACAGUAACAAUGACCCGCCAUUAAACACACUGAGAGAAGAGCAUGAUGAAGAGUUUGUACAAGAAGAAGCCAGGAGCACUUGCUGACAAUGCUUACAGAGACGCAGGCUUCUAUGAGCUCUGCCUGUUGAACUGCAGUAAAAAUAGAUCUCCUUCCCCAGAGAGGCUUGGAUGUGGGCACAAUAUCAGUUCAGACGAUGGUCAAUGCAUGUACUUAAUAGAGUGAAAAGACUUUGGACUGUGAAGUCAGAUUACCUGGGUCUGAAUUGUUAUUCUUCUACUUCUUUGUAGUAUGCUUUCACCACAUUAAAAAUUGUCUGAGCCUCAA